This 261-nucleotide ribosomal RNA is filed under the name uncultured bacterium. Its description in RNAcentral is "partial 16S ribosomal RNA". It matches the Rfam family "Bacterial small subunit ribosomal RNA", at positions 524 to 784 of the family's 1533-position model. The record is from RNAcentral.
UACGUAGGGUGCGAGCGUUAAUCGGAAUUGCUGGGCGUAAAGCGUGCGCAGGCGGUGACCCAAGUCAGAUGUGAAAUCCCCGGGCUUAACCUGGGAACUGCAUUUGAAACUAGGUCGCUAGAGUACGGCAGAGGGGGAUGGAAUUCCGCGUGUAGCAGUGAAAUGCGUAGAUAUGCGGAGGAACACCAAUGGCGAAGGCAAUCCCCUGGGCCUGUACUGACGCUCAUGCACGAAAGCGUGGGGAGCAAACAGGAUUAGAAA